CCUACGGGGGACAGCAGUGGGGAAUAUUGCACAAUGGGGGAAACCCUGAUGCAGCGACGCCGCGUGAGUGAAGAAGUAUUUCGGUAUGUAAAGCUCUAUCAGCAGGGAAGAAAAUGACGGUACCUGAUUAAGAAGCCCCGGCUAACUACGUGCCAGCAGCCGCGGUAAUACGUAGGGGGCAAGCGUUAUCCGGAUUUACUGGGUGUAAAGGGAGCGUAGGCGGCAGCACAAGUCUGGAGUGAAAUGCCGGGGCUUAACCCCGGAACUGCUGUGGAAACUGUGCAGCUAGAGUGCAGGAGAGGUAAGUGGAAUUCCUGGUGUAGCGGUGAAAUGCGUAGAUAUUAGGAGGAACA
RNAcentral lists this ribosomal RNA (353 nucleotides) under uncultured bacterium. RNAcentral's name for it is "partial 16S ribosomal RNA". It matches the Rfam family "Bacterial small subunit ribosomal RNA", at positions 338 to 708 of the family's 1533-position model. The record is from RNAcentral.